ACUCCUACGGGAGGCAGCAGUGAGGAAUCUUGCGCAAUGGGGGAAACCCUGACGCAGCCACGCCGCGUGCCGGAAGAAGGCCCUAUGGGUUGUAAACGGCUUUUGGUUGGGAAGAAUGUACGAGGUUUGCCUUGUAUUGACGGUACCAAUUGAAUCAGCACCGGCUAACUCCGUGCCAGCAGCCGCGGUAAUACGGAGGGUGCAAGCGUUGUCCGGAAUCAUUGGGUGUAAAGGGUGCGUAGGCUGGCAUCUAAGUCUGGGGUGAAAUCUUGCCGCUUAACGGUAAAAUUGCCCUGGAUACUGGAUGUCUUGAAUCUGACAGAGGUCGGUGGAAUUCGUAGUGUAGCGGUGAAAUGCAUAGAUAUUACGAAGAACAUCAGUGGCGAAGGCGGCCGGCUGGGUCAGUAUUGACGCUGAGGCACGAGAGCGUGGGGAGCGAACAGGAUUAGAAACCCCAGUAGUCC
This 464-nucleotide ribosomal RNA is filed under the name uncultured bacterium. RNAcentral describes it as "bacterial SSU rRNA". It matches the Rfam family "Bacterial small subunit ribosomal RNA", at positions 335 to 796 of the family's 1533-position model. The record is from RNAcentral.